RNAcentral lists this ribosomal RNA (424 nucleotides) under uncultured bacterium. RNAcentral's name for it is "bacterial SSU rRNA". It matches the Rfam family "Bacterial small subunit ribosomal RNA", at positions 355 to 796 of the family's 1533-position model. The record is from RNAcentral.
UGGGGAAUAUUGGACAAUGGGCGCAAGCCUGAUCCAGCCAUGCCGCGUGGAUGAUGAAGGCCCUAGGGUUGUAAAGUCCUUUUAACGGGGAAGAUAAUGACGGUACCCGUAGAAUAAGCCCCGGCUAACUUCGUGCCAGCAGCCGCGGUAAUACGAAGGGGGCUAGCGUUGCUCGGAAUUACUGGGCGUAAAGCGCACGUAGGCGGGUUCUUAAGUCGGUGGUGAAAUCCUGGAGCUCAACUCCAGAACUGCCUUCGAUACUGGGAAUCUUGAGUCCGGGAGAGGUGAGUGGAACUGCGAGUGUAGAGGUGAAAUUCGUAGAUAUUCGCAAGAACACCAGUGGCGAAGGCGGCUCACUGGCCCGGUACUGACGCUGAGGUGCGAAAGCGUGGGGAGCAAACAGGAUUAGAUACCCCCGUAGUCC